Long non-coding RNA from Canis lupus familiaris (dog), 1183 nucleotides. RefSeq lists it as uncharacterized. Lineage: Eukaryota; Metazoa; Chordata; Mammalia; Carnivora; Canidae. The record is from RefSeq and is a predicted model, not a curated record. The transcript is spliced from 2 exons.
GCAAACCCCCCACCCCAAUGUGGGGCUGGAUCUCAGGACCCCAGGAUCAUGACCUGAGCCAAAGGAAGAUGCUUAAUCAAGUCACCCAGGCACCCCCUCCCUUUUUUAAAAAAAGAUUUUAGGAAAAGGGCAUUCCCAGUGCAGGGAACAGCAUGAGUGGACAAAUGGAGGUACGAAGAGGAGGUGUGUUUGCGGAGCAGCAGGUGUGACCAGUGUUCCUGCUGGGGGGUGGAGCGGUGCGAGGGGCGAAGUAGUCAGAGCUGGACUGGUUGGUGACAGCAGCCCGGUGACCAGGGGUGAUGAGCCACAGGAGUCUGCUUCAGUUCUGUGAGCUUUAUCCUCUCAGUGGAGAACCCCUGAAAGUCAUAAAAGGGAGCGUGGUGAUCAGAUUCGCAUCGCGGGAAGUUCAUUCCAACCGCCCUCCAAGGUUCCAGGACAAUCAGCCUGGAAGACUUCUGCAAAGUUCCCAGUGAGCAGAAACAAAUGAAUUGUGGGUCAUAUUAUGCAAGAAUUGGAAGUUUGAAUGUGAAAGCCAUUUUCAAAAACAUUACAAAUAUGCAUAUUUAUGGCAUUCUUCUUAUUUAAACAGUAGCAAUGAAAGUCUCUAAAAAUGGAUGAUCCUCUGGUUCAUGAAGCCUCGAGUUUAUAUGGCCCAGGAUAUUCGAGAAGUGGUGGAAACCGGCAUGCUAUGGUGCAGCAGGCCACAAGGAUGGUGGGACUCUCUAGAAGAGGUUCAAACAGCCUACUUCUAAAAUGAAUCCAGAAUCGUCUUCAAGCGUAAAGGAGGUAACAUGCAGAAACCAAAAAGGCUGCCGCCAGGAUAUUUCACUCCAAAGACCACUGACUCACCUAGUAGUCAGGACGGGGCAUGCUUCUGUGGUUUGCGUAGGGAUUCUGUGGCUGACCGGAGAUAUUGGCCCUGACUUUAGGGAAGAUGCUCCCAUCUGCUCCUAGAUUGCUGAAGCCUGUCGUCUGCUGUAGUCUCAGAUUCUGAAAGUCGUUCUCAAUCAAGUUCUGUUCUUCAAUAUACUUGUCUUUGUUCUUUGACCUAUAAAUGGUAAGGAGAUUUAGGAUCAGACGAUGGCAGAAAGUUCCUCGAAGCAAACGUUGAUAUUCUUUUCUUAAAAAUGUUUAAAAAAAAAUGUUUUCAAAAAAUAAAUAAAAAUAAAAAAAUAAAAAUGUU